This is a long non-coding RNA of Lytechinus pictus (painted urchin), 4398 nucleotides long. RefSeq lists it as uncharacterized. Lineage: Eukaryota; Metazoa; Echinodermata; Echinoidea; Temnopleuroida; Toxopneustidae. The transcript has 5 exons. The record is from RefSeq and is a predicted model, not a curated record.
GACUUUAAAAUUGUCACAUGAGGAAUGUUGACCUGAGCUCGUCUAGCUUGUGAAUAACGAUAUUUUCCCCUUUAUUUUCAAUGAUUUCAGUGAUUUAUUGUCUUCCUGAAUUAAUUGAUUAAACUAAAUAAACGUGUAGCAAAUGUUGAAAGGGCAUAUCGACGAAAGUAAUCCAUAAAAAAAAACGCCGAAUGUCUGUCCAUAAUAAUAGAUCCAUGGUAAUGCACUGGGGCGAAUAAACGAGUGCACAAUAGGCGGGAAAAUUUGAAUAGCUGACGGGCAGGCGAUAGUGAAUGUACGGGUUUAUAAAGGAAUGCAAGCCGUGAAUACGAGGUACACCACGGCAUCAACACCACCAACAACGUUGAGAAAAGCUGCAACGAUUGCUAAAUUUAAACUGCUGGAAGGUUUUUUUCCCCACAAGAUAUCCACAGAUUUUCUCUCCUUAUAUUACAGCGUAUGAGAGGAAAGGAGGGAAAUGCAGGAAGUGAUUUCAAACAUUAUUCUGGCGAUAACCAGGGUAGUCCGGUCCACAGGUUCUGCCACUUAAUACUGCACCUGGAACUAAAAUGGACCAGUGAUUUAAAACUAGAUCAUGAAUGAUAUACCUGGUUUUACUGGACAAAUAGACCUAGGAUUAAUAGGAUUCAGCAGAAAAUGAGGUAGGAAAUCCACAAAGGUACCCUAGCGGCCACCAAGAAACAUCGAUACGUCAGCACAAGAAUUAACUUUAUGUCGACCAAGUCCCCCAAGUCUUCCACCCCAGAUCAGGGCCCAUGCAGAUUACGAUUGAUUGUUGCCCAAUGCAUGCUGAAUCCCCAUUGGAAUGUGAAUAGGGCUACGCUAGAGUAUAUACAGUAUAUACAUCGCCACCCAUGUGGCCUGGUCAACACGGAUUGGAGCAGGUUUUUAUCAGACGAUGAUGGCGGGUCAGGUGGAUAGGAGAAUGUUGCUUGGAAGGCAUCCUCGUGAUAGGUCUGACGUCCGUCGCGGUUCACCGGCCAAUUCUGUUUCCAAAUUGAGAGAGCCUACAGCGUGCAGGAUCACCGUAGGAAGGUUUAAGGUGUGGCAGUGUACUUCGGUCGACGAUGCAGAUACGAUGGCCUUUAUGACUGGAAAGUUCACCCGAUGCAGAGCAAGAAUUAACCUGGCGUCGACCAAGACUUCAAGACUUGCUGGUGGUCAACGAUAUGUGACCACCUCAUGCAUCACGGGCCAAAAACUUGAAGUGGAACAGGCAUACGUUCGAGUAUGUCACCAUCCAUGUGGCCAGGUCAUUACGGAUUGGAGCAGGUUUUCAUCAGGAUAAUUAUGAUGGCGGGUCAGGUGGAUAGGAGAAUGUUGCUUGGAAGGCAUCCGCAUGGGGUUAUCUUCCGGUGAGAUGAGGUCUGAUGUCCCUGCUGACCAUCAAAUUCGAUUUGCAUGCGAGGACCCAAUUUUACUAUGAGAAGGAUCGAGGAGGAUGUGGAUAAUGGACUUCGGUCGACGGCCAUGCCGAUCCCCAAGGUUCACCCGAUGCAGUCUCAUCAUGGUGAGGGGUGAUCAAAGUUCCAAUUGGUCUUCUGUAUGUCUUCCGCUGGCCCUAGCCCAGGGACUUUACGUUAUCACCAAUAUGACCAACAUCAUCUUGAAAUAGGUCGACCAAGAUUUGCUCACCUUCCUCGCAUACGACAACGUUAAUCACUCCUUCCCAUUAUCUGUUUUGUGUUUUCAUGGCGUUAUUCAGAUAAAAAUAACGUAUACUGCUGGGCCCCGUCUUACAAAGAGUUACGAUUUAUCCAAUCAAUCGUAACUCUAUGGAACUCCAUCAGUGUCGUAAUUUUUUCUACAGGAAAUUUGCAAAAUGUCCUUUGUAAACAAAAGAGAACACACCAAAUUGUCAAGAAAUCAAAUAAUUUAUGGAUAUACAUUCAUAUCUAGAAUUUUUUUUUGAACAAAAAUGCAUUUUAUAUGUUGAUUUUGCUGGCUUUCCAUAGUACGACGGGACCCUGGUGAAGAACUAUAGGUAACACAACCUUUGCCUACUACCUUGCGUACGUAGGGAAUGUUUGUAUUUUACACAUUUACUGUAUGUGGAUUCUCAACUGGUUGGUUUCUGUUUAAUUUGCGGGGCGUUCCCAUGCGUGCUGUAAUAUAAAGUCCCUGAAUUUCUCAAGAGGCCGUAUUCUGUCAUCAUGUUCUUCCACGUCAAACAUAAUAAUAAUGAUUGUUUAAUGCUUUAUUAGGAUUUCAGUAGAUAUACUGCAUGCGGUCCAUGGUGAUGACUAAAUGAAUUGAAUAACUGGUUGUUGAAGAAAUGUGCAUAUAGCCUUAAUUUGGAGGCUUUUAAAAUGACAUCGUCUUCUAAAGCUCCGUCGCUUUGCUUCCUUGCACGGUUCUCUCGAAAUCGCAUUAUUUCACACUCCUGUUUAUUCCUUAUAAAACUGCCUUUUCAUAGGCCUAUUCGGGGUUCAGUAUUUGCAGCAUUUAUAAAUCGGAGGGCUGCAGUUUGGGUGGGCAGAAAAAAUUGGAUGAAGAAAAAUAGGGGGCCUAAUAUUCUUUAUACUACAAAAGCUACAUGCACCUGUCCAGAAAUGAAGCUUGGGGUUUGAAUUCCAUGAAUUCCACAUCUUGUUUUUUUUUUCUCGCUCAGAUGCCUCGCUCACUCAUCUAUUAAAUGUUUUGUUUUGUUUGUUUGGAUAUCCUUCAUAAUCUCAUAAGAUUUUUACAAAUCUUGUAGGUUAAAAGGUUCAACAUUUAUUUGGUUACUUAAGAAAGGAAUAUGCUUUGAAUAUUCGUCAUUUCUUAAAGGAAACAGCAUAGCCGGUGGAAGUGGGGGGGGGGGGGGGGCAGGAUAAUUUUAAAAUACGUAUAAAAAGUGUGGGGGAGAAACACGUAUAUUCUAUGGAAAGUUGUGAUCACAUCCAUGGUUGUAGAACUCCCCCUCCUCCAAAAAUUGUGAAAGCUUGCAUUUUUCUUUUGAAAAUUUAUCUAAAUUAAAAUAAACGUUACGCGUCUUUCCAUUUUAUGUGUUGCCUUAGCGGCCGCCAAAAUCUUAAUGCGUAGGAACAAGCCCCCGUGUGUUUUGUAAAUAGUAUAUAAAUAUUUAAAAUGCAAAAGAAUAUUACAUUGUAAAGUUUGCAUGAAAAUGGCUCCAAUACCGUAAUAAUGAUGACAUGUGUCUAAUAAAUUCAUUGCCAUUGUCAUUGCGCUUAUGCCCAUAAAACUAAUAAAACAUACAUUGAAAUUGAAUGGUAAAGAUGAUCAAAAUUAUUUUUUUUCGUGUUUUUAUAAUCUAAAAAAAAAUAAUGAUUUGAAAGUAGAAUCAUGACAAAUGAGAAAUAUGUCCCUCUUCUGUCGGCUAUGCUGUGUACUUAUGUUUCCUUCAUGCUGGGUUGUUUUACAAUCAGGGAAUACCAGUUAAAAAGGCUUUCUGUACAUCAUAAGAAAAGAAAUGUUAUUGUAAUCUCAAAUCUACGAUGGCAAGCUAUGUGGUAUUUUAAUAGCAGACUGCAAAGAAGAAAAAUAUUGAACUACAUAUUCAUUAUUCAAAAUUGAACAUAUAUGGCAUUUUAGGGCCAAAUUUACUGUCAUUUAUUUAUUAUUUUUUUUCAAUUUCGAGCCCGCGCAUGUCUAUAUGCAGCCUUGUGCAUCGUUUCACCAAUUAGAAUUGAUUAUUGAAAUUGUUUAAAUUUCUAAAUUCUUAAAAGCUUCAGACAGUUUUUAUUUUGUCUAUACUUGUGUAGUAAUAUGCAAAACUCUUAGACGGUUCACUUUGCUCACUUCCGCUUAUUUUUUCAGCCGUUUCUCGUUCCACUGUCCAAAGUCACCCCCUGCGAAAAUUGAACCCAUACAAGAAAGGUUUUAAAGAAACUCAAAGCAACAUUUUUGUCAAAUUAGACAGCUGAGUUUACCCUGAUUGUAUAACAGCCGAUAACCAUGAUAAGAGCUUUCAGAACAAUACUUCACUGUUGAAUGAUCCAUGUUAAAUGUCAAACGUCGUCUGUUGUUAAUGAUGGUUUAUAAAAUAGUGGUGUGGAUCCUUGUUAAACAUUGGCGGCGGAAGCCAAAAAAUUUAGGGGGGUCCACCUGAAAUUUGGGAUGGACACAGGUAAAAAAUUGGACAAGCAAAAAAAAAAAUUAUCAACAUAAAUUUUAGGGGGGGGGGUCCGUCCCCUCACCUCAAAUUGAGGAGGGGGACAGGACCCCCUGCCCCCCCCCCCCACUUCCGCCUAUGUUAAACUGUCUUCAUCUCAAAGCAAUGACCUGCCUGUAUAGAACUGGUCAUAGGAACAAGUCAUCAGCAACUUUUCAUGUUUGCUAAAACAAAUGAUUGGUCACGUGAUCGAUUUCAUCCAAUCAUUUGUUUUGGAUCCAUAUCACAAUUUUAUAAACAUAAGUAAAUGAUCGUGUUACACC